Molecule: long non-coding RNA, 309 nt
Organism: Monopterus albus (swamp eel)
Lineage: Eukaryota; Metazoa; Chordata; Actinopteri; Synbranchiformes; Synbranchidae
Exons: 4
Source: RefSeq, a predicted model, not a curated record
GUUCCACUGGGAAGAGAUUGGGCUUGAGGUCCGGCAGCACAUGCUAAGUGCUGAUUGUUCAUUUCAUGUUGUCAGAUUAAACGAAGCGCACCUCCAAACGCAGUCCUGGUGUUUCAUGGGUCCUUCAGCCACCACACAAGCCCCAGCACAACACAAUGCAGAAGUCCACCGGUCACACUGACAUGGAAGACAAGCCCCAAAAGAAUGUGUAUGCAGAACAUCUGCACUUUGAAGUUCACCAGUUGGGGAUGAUGACGAGGCUCCUGUGGAAGAUUUGUCAUCCUGAGCCCAGCGCUGUAUGGCUUGACA